UUUUGCUUCCGCACUUAAUUUAUAAGUUAUUUUCUUUGGACAUUCUGGGGUUGUUACAGUUGGUAUCAGAGUCGCGUUCCUCGGACCCAUUCCUUACACAAAAUCCUUAGGAAGCACCCAAAAUAAUGAAUUAUCACUCAACCAUUCCUUGUGAAAUACAGGUACAGAUAGAUGAGGAGAGGAAGACUCCCACUAAACCGAGCAGCCCGAGAGGGUUCUCUUAGAAAGGAUGUCAACCGGUUAUUUGAGAUGCUGGAGAGAUUCAUUGCUGCCCAGCAGGCCCGGGAGAAAAGGAGGGAGCUACUUACCCUCUCCCGUUGCGACAGGUUAAGCCACCCCUGUAGCGAGAGGAUCUCGAGCCACCCCAGUCUGACCC
RNAcentral lists this long non-coding RNA (376 nucleotides) under Carica papaya (papaya). RNAcentral's name for it is "long non-coding RNA (CPAP_LNC004082)". Lineage: Eukaryota; Viridiplantae; Streptophyta; Magnoliopsida; Brassicales; Caricaceae. The record is from RNAcentral.